Molecule: ribosomal RNA, 497 nt
Filed under: uncultured bacterium
Lineage: Bacteria
Description: partial 16S ribosomal RNA
Rfam family: Bacterial small subunit ribosomal RNA
Source: RNAcentral
GAUGAACGCUGGCGGCGUGCCUAAUACAUGCAAGUCGAGCGAACAGACGAGGAGCUUGCUCCUCUGACGUUAGCGGCGGACGGGUGAGUAACACGUGGAUAACCUACCUAUAAGACUGGGAUAACUUCGGGAAACCGGAGCUAAUACCGGAUAAUAUAUUGAACCGCAUGGUUCAAUAGUGAAAGACGGUUUUGCUGUCACUUAUACAUGGAUCCGCGCCGCAUUAGCUAGUUGGUAAGGUAACGGCUUACCAAGGCGACGAUGCGUAGCCGACCUGAGAGGGUGAUCGGCCACACUGGAACUGAGACACGGUCCAGACUCCUACGGGAGGCAGCAGUAGGGAAUCUUGCGCAAUGGGCGAAAGCCUGACGGAGCAACGCCGCGUGAGUGAUGAAGGUCUUCGGAUCGUAAAACUCUGUUAUUAGGGAAGAACACAUGUGUAAGUAACUAUGCACGUCUUGACGGUACCUAAUCAGAAAGCAACGGCUAACUACGUG